CCUACGGGAGGCAGCAGUGGGGAAUAUUGCACAAUGGGGGAAACCCUGAUGCAGCAACGCCGUGUGAGUGAAGAAGCGUUUCGGCGCGUAAAGCUCUGUCAGCGGGGAAGAAAGAAGACGGUACCCGACCAAGAAGCCCCGGCUAACUACGUGCCAGCAGCCGCGGUAAUACGUAGGGGGCAAGCGUUAUCCGGAUUUACUGGGUGUAAAGGGAGCGUAGACGGCAGUGCAAGUCUGGAGUGAAAGGCGGGGGCUCAACCCCCGGACUGCUCUGGAAACUGUACGGCUGGAG
RNAcentral lists this ribosomal RNA (292 nucleotides) under uncultured bacterium. RNAcentral describes it as "partial 16S ribosomal RNA". It matches the Rfam family "Bacterial small subunit ribosomal RNA", at positions 338 to 646 of the family's 1533-position model. The record is from RNAcentral.